Schizosaccharomyces pombe (fission yeast) is the source of this 2742-nucleotide non-coding RNA. NCBI's taxonomy places the organism in Eukaryota, Fungi, Ascomycota, Schizosaccharomycetes, Schizosaccharomycetales, Schizosaccharomycetaceae. The record is from the annotation of a GenBank genome assembly.
AAGAUUUGAAACAUGUAAUUCUAGAGGUUAUGUGUAUCCCAAUCAACGUUAAUGAUAACACGUGUCUUGAAAUGAGUAUGCAUUAAAACGGAAAUAUAAUAUGGAUAUAAGCAGACAGGAAAGUACGCACGUGAACAACCAUUAAAUUAAUUCCUUCAAGUAUUACGAUUUCCUUUGGAUAUCUGAAUCCUUCAUAGACACAUGCUUUCGACGCCAAUCCUUAAAAUAUUAAAAAAAACAAAAAUAAAUUUUACAUCAAAAUACAACAAAACUUCUCUAAUUUGGAACCUUUCUUUUUAGGAGGUUUUUCACUUUUUUCAGAAGGUUUUUCUUUAGGUACUGGUGUUGCACUAGCAGCUGGUUGUGUAUAGUCUCUGGUUACAUGAGGUGGCAUUUCAGAUUCGUGGACACUCAAAGAAUUCUGAAUUGACGGAGCAGCUGGAGGAUCUGGUGACCCAUCACCAAGGGCGGGUACAGAAGCCGAAGGCAAAGGUGAGCUUCUUGAGUAAGUAGGUCGUUUCGGUGAAACUUGAGGUGUAGGAGUUAAAUUGGCGUAGUUAGGUUGGUUCAAAUUCACAGUGGAAUCAUUGGCAUCCGAUUGAGGAAUAUCUGACUCCUGCUCAUCUUCAGUAUUGGUGGAAGUAAAACGUGGAAAUGGACUCCCAGUAUUCGGUUGAGGUUGAAAAGAACGCAUUGAUUGAGAAAUGGCUUCCGAAGAUGCUGUACUAGCGUUGUCUUCAGAAUGAGUGUCUACAUCAUAUACAAUAGGAGAAUCACUCCUCGAAAUGCGAUUCGGUGUUGAUUGCGUCUGCGCGCCAACCUGGAAAGGUCGAUCUGCAUCAUUGUAGGAAGAUUGAAAAGACGAUUUACGAGAUUCAGAAUCGGUUUCUGCAACCUUCUUGGGAUUUUGAGAAGGCGAAUAAGUAACGGCGGCUUUGAGAGACUCAUAUUCAACUGAAGAAGCAGGUACGGGAGACGACAUAUCUGGCACAGAUACAGGUCGAGCCUUCGCGGAAGAAGAAGAAGAAGCUGGCGUUUCAUUGGCAGGUGGUGAAUAUGGCUGCAACGGCCAAGCAGAAUUCUUAACGUUUAAUUUUGGCAACGUUAUGUCCUUUGGCGGAUUUUCCAAAUGCGACACAGCGCGCAUCGUAUUUUUGGAUAACUGAGCAAUGGAUCGUUCCAAGCGUCCCAUAGUAAAAUUCAACCUAGAAUCCAAGGUCGAAGUAUCAAUUAAUGCUGGAGAUGCGCUUUUUGUCCUAUAAGAGUAUCUUCCCGGACGAGAUGAGUCCUGUGAUGCUUCCAAUAUUCUCCUUCGGCGCUCACUUCCAAUGUCAAAGGUUCGAAAAUUACUAUUAAAAGAUGAUCUAGCUCCCUUGGCUGUUUCAGAGGGAGAUCCUUCAAUGCUAAUAUCCUCUGACGUUGAACCAUUGGCACUUCUUUUUGGAGAUUUAGACGCGCUUCUCUUUACAUUAAACCCAGAAAACGUAUUGGGAGAAAAAGACUUGUGGUAAUUACUUGGAAUAUAAAUACUACCUGCUGUAACAGGACGAGCAUAUCGAUUUACGUAUGCAUCUCCGUCUGGAUCUAGUACACUUGAACCAGUAUCUUGCUUGCUGCUUGGCAAUGGUAAAGAAAGACCUCGUUCAAAACUAUCGGUAUUAUUUCUCCGGAUAGCAGGAGUAGAAGGAGCACUUGUACCUACAUUUCUAUUAUCGAAUUGAAAUCCGACGGUAGUGUUUGGUCGAGGUUUUUUUGAUAUCUAAUCAUUAAUGCCAGCAAGCUGAACCCUUAACUAGUGAAAAGGGGGCAGCCCAAGCAACACUUGUUAGCAAAUCAUUAUUUCAAACAGGCAAGAUAGGGUAGUACUCGGAAAGAAAGGCUCCAUUCAACAAAUUGAACAGCUGCAAUUUGCGUACAGGUGCAACUUUCAUGUCUUACAUAAAGAAUAAGAGAAACUACCUCUGAUCUUCUUAAAAAAUUAGCAUACCUCGGAUGUCUCAGGUCUCCAAAAAGAAGGAAUAGCAGGGCUUUCAGAUAAAGCCGACAUGCAAUCAAAUAAAAGAAAAAGAUCAAUUAGAGCCAAAAAAGAGAGUAAAAAGAAUAUCCAAAACUGGGAAUUGGGAAACCGGUGUUUGGCUAACAAUUAGUAGUACGCGGAUCGCGACGCUAAUUUCCUCAGUUGAGCUGGUAUCGUGUUAAAUAUUUUGUAAAAGAAUAUUUCCCUCUUUUUAGUAAUGUUCAUGGAACAAUUGGUGAAAAACAUAAUAUUAAAAGGUCACAAGAAAAUUUUUAUAGCUAAAAUAUUCUUUUAAAAAUAAUUCGAGCAAGUUCUCAGGCAGGUGUAGGAAAUAGAUGGAUAUUUAAUAGAAAUUACCCUUGAGAGCAAAUAGAGCUGAUUCCUUUAUCCAUGUAAGAUGGAAACAUAACUUUUGACGUCCCCAAGAACAUGCACUCUUAGAUAGGUAAGCACAUCAGUGAUGGAGUAAGUGUUGAUAUAUCCAGGUAUUGCAGACGAGUAACAAUAAUGAAAGUUGAAAUGGAGAAUUGUUUACAGCAUGAUAUCCUGUUCUUCAAUUUUUAUGCAAUUUGAGUCCCCAACAAUUGAAUCGAUCAAAUGGGAGAACCCACUAAAUUAUUGAAGAGUAUUUUGAAAAAAUAGUUGAGGUAUAAAAUACCCAAGAAUUCAACCAUUAAACGAUAAAAUCAACCGAGAAUGCGCUUUUGCUGAUAUGAAUUUAUAUG